This 353-nucleotide long non-coding RNA is filed under the name Ananas comosus (pineapple). Its description in RNAcentral is "long non-coding RNA (ACOM_LNC043212)". The record is from RNAcentral. Lineage: Eukaryota; Viridiplantae; Streptophyta; Magnoliopsida; Poales; Bromeliaceae.
UAGGGUGGGUUGUGAAGAAGAGGUUGAUGGAUUUUGGCGAAAUUGAUGUGAGCUGAGAAGAGGAGCUAACAGUAGGGAAAAGAUUGGUGGAAUACAAACCCGAGGUAAGAUUUGUGCUAUUCUUUAACAGGGUUUGAGGUUUUUAGAGUAUUAAAUCUUGGAUUAUCCAUAUGUUCUUGAUGUGAGAGAACUCAAGAACAAUGGUAACUUGUGAAAUAUUGAAAUCUGAAGUAAAGUAGGUUAAAUUCCUGUGUUAGGAAUUGUUAUAGUAAUACUAAAAUGGAUUCGGGUUGAGAUUUCUUAAAUUCUAAAGCUUAUGGUUGCCAUGAGAAGCUAAGGAAAACUGUAUAUGG